GGCCCCAUCGUCUAGUGGUCCAGGACACAUGGUUCUCAGCCAUGGAACAGGAGUUCGAUUCUCCUUGGGGCUACAA
This 76-nucleotide transfer RNA is filed under the name Candidatus Jorgensenbacteria bacterium CG10_big_fil_rev_8_21_14_0_10_54_38. RNAcentral describes it as "tRNA-Glu". It matches the Rfam family "tRNA". Rfam says of the family: Transfer RNA (tRNA) molecules are approximately 80 nucleotides in length. Their secondary structure includes four short double-helical elements and three loops (D, anti-codon, and T loops). RNAcentral also lists the same sequence under 1 other name. The record is from RNAcentral. Lineage: Bacteria; Candidatus Joergenseniibacteriota.